AAAACAACUAAUCAAUAAUUAUCAUCGAUAAGGAUAGUGGAAAUGAGCCGGCGGAGCUCAACACCUGCGUGACCCCAGCCGCAGUGGGCUGACUCCCUGUAAUGAUCUGAGCUCUUCUGCUCGGGUCUCAUGCUUCAGCCACUUCCUUCCUUUGAGCGGACCUGAUCAAUGACGCGCCCAUUGGCGUCUGCGCGGCAGACAGACAUCACACGUCGUCACCGGCUUACUAAGACUAACACAAAGCAGUGCGUAGCUGUGAGGCGGAAGACAUACAGACUCAGACCAGGAUGGUAAGCAUAUCCGACCAUCAGUUUAUAAGUCGGACCAUGUUCGAC
Long non-coding RNA from Poecilia latipinna (sailfin molly), 335 nucleotides. RefSeq lists it as uncharacterized. The record is from RefSeq and is a predicted model, not a curated record. The transcript is spliced from 4 exons. Lineage: Eukaryota; Metazoa; Chordata; Actinopteri; Cyprinodontiformes; Poeciliidae.